UUCAAACCCUGCAAACUGCCUUGUCCGAAACAGUAAAGCUAAACAAUCUGUUCUCAAAUGUCAGGGGCUCCAACAAUAUUGUUGAGAAACAGAGAGGAACAAUCCAAGAUUGCAGAGAGCUACACCAAAUCACAUUAUCUUCUUUACAGAGAUCCAUGUCGAGGGUCCGUUCCGGUACUGAUUCAAGAAAGAUGGCAGAUGCAAGAGCUUACCUCAGUGCUGCUCUUACGAACAAGAACACGUGUCUAGAAGGGCUAAACACUGCUUCUGGUCCACUCAAGCCCACCUUGGUUAACGCUGUGAUUAAUACUUACAAGCACGUUAGCAACUCUCUUUCUGUUCUGGCCAAGCAAGUUCCUAAACACGGCCAUAAACAGCGCCGUCUCUUGGGAUUCCCGAGCUGGAUGUCGAAGAAAGAUCGCCGGAUUUUGCAGGUCUCCGGCGACGAAUAUGACCCGAGUGAGGUCAUUACCGUGGCCGCAGAUGGAACAGGAAACUUCACUACAAUCACUGAUGCCAUAAAUUUUGUUCCUAAUAAUAGUUACGACAACAGAAUUAUUAUAUAUAUUAGAGAAGGUACAUACAACGAGAACGUGGAUAUACCCAGCUAUAAGCCCAACGUCGUUCUGCUCGGAGAUGGAAGUGACGUCACUUUUAUCACAGGUAACCGGAGCGUGGAUGACGGCUGGACUACUUUCAGAUCUGCAACCGUCGGUAAAGUUCCAAACUUUAACUUGAUUCUCACAUUUCUUUUAUUAGCAUGAACAGCCAAUUAGUUUCCUAAUCUGAACAAAAACACAAUCUUACAUGGUUUUAUCAUCUUUUUCUUUUUUCGACGUUAAAACAGCGGUGUCUGGUGAAGGCUUUCUGGCACGAGAUAUAACCUUUGAAAACACGGCAGGACCAGAGAAACAUCAAGCAGUUGCAUUAAGAGUAAAUGCAGACUUAGUAGCUUUAUACAUGUGCAGCGUCAAUGGCUUCCAAGACACUCUCUACGUUCACUCAUUUAGACAAUUCUACCGCGAGUGUGACAUAUCUGGAACAAUAGACUACAUAUUUGGAAACGCUGCAGUUGUCUUUCAAGCUUCCAAUAUCAUAUCAAGAAUGCCGUUACCUGGGCAGUUUACAGUCAUAACAGCUCAAUCCCGAGACACCCCAGAUGAGGAAACUGGAAUUUCAAUACAAAACUGUUCGAUUGUAG
RNAcentral lists this long non-coding RNA (1201 nucleotides) under Carica papaya (papaya). RNAcentral's name for it is "long non-coding RNA (CPAP_LNC001520)". Lineage: Eukaryota; Viridiplantae; Streptophyta; Magnoliopsida; Brassicales; Caricaceae. The record is from RNAcentral.